This 90-nucleotide transfer RNA is filed under the name soil metagenome. It matches the Rfam family "tRNA". From Rfam's summary of the family: Transfer RNA (tRNA) molecules are approximately 80 nucleotides in length. RNAcentral also lists the same sequence under 1 other name. The record is from RNAcentral.
GGAGGGGUGGCAGAGCGGUUGAAUGCGACGGUCUUGAAAACCGUUUUGGGCGCAACCCGCCCAACGUGGGUUCGAAUCCCACCCCCUCCG